GACGAACGCUGGCGGCGUGCUUAACACAUGCAAGUCGAGCGGUAAGGCCCUUCGGGUACACGAGCGGCGAACGGGUGAGUAACACGUGGGUGACCUGCCUCUAGCUCUGGGAUAAGCCUGGGAAACUGGGUCUAAUACCGGAUAUGACUCCACGGCGCAUGUUGUGGGGUGGAAAGCCUUGUGUGGCUAGAGAUGGGCCCGCGGCCUAUCAGCUUGUUGGUGGGGUGAUGGCCUACCAAAGGCGACGACGGGUAGCCGGCCUGAGAGGGCGACCGGCCACACUGGGACUGAGACACGGCCCAGACUCCGUACGGGAGGGCAGCAGUGGGGAAUCUUGCGCAAUGGGCGAAAGCCUGACGCAGCGACGCCGCGUGAGGGAUGACGGCCUCGGUUGUAA
RNAcentral lists this ribosomal RNA (397 nucleotides) under uncultured bacterium. RNAcentral describes it as "bacterial SSU rRNA". It matches the Rfam family "Bacterial small subunit ribosomal RNA", at positions 28 to 428 of the family's 1533-position model. The record is from RNAcentral.